CAACAGAACACGUUCAUAACUUUACUAUGCUGUCAUCUACUGGAAGGUGGACUGCAUAACACCCCAGUACAUAAGACUCCUCCCCCAUAGACCUCAAAGUCUUUGAGAUAACUGGGAGGGUGAAUAUUUCUUCUUGGGCGCCCCAAAAGCAUGUUUAGGGCUGCUUCACCUGGACCUUCAGUUGUGCCCAUCCCUUCUUCCUGUGCUCU
This is a non-coding RNA of Pelobates cultripes (western spadefoot toad), 209 nucleotides long. The record is from the annotation of a GenBank genome assembly. Lineage: Eukaryota; Metazoa; Chordata; Amphibia; Anura; Pelobatidae.